UUUCCGUAGGUGAACCUGCGGAAGGAUCAUUAUUGUAUAACCGAGGUGCUAGGGCUGUCGCUGACCCUAAAGCUCGUGCACGCCCGAGUGCCCUCCCACACCUCCAUCUCACCCCUCUUUGCACCACCGCGUCGGUCCCCCUUUUGCUUUUUCGUAGGCUGGCUUACGUUUUCACACAAACUUUUUAUGCAUUUUAGAUUGUAUUUUUUGUUUUUAACAUCCCUCACUCAAUACAACUAUCAACAACUGCUCUCUUGCCUCUCGCAUCGACGAAGCACG
This 279-nucleotide unclassified non-coding RNA is filed under the name plant metagenome. RNAcentral describes it as "partial contains small subunit ribosomal RNA, internal transcribed spacer 1, and 5.8S ribosomal RNA". The record is from RNAcentral.